AAUGUACUCCCUCCGUCCGAAAAUACUUGUCAUCACAAUGGAUAAAAAUGGAUGUAUCUAAAACUAAAAUACAUCUAGAUACAUCAUCUUUUAUUCAUUUUGAUGACAAGUAUUUUCAGACGUAGGGAGUAUUAU
This is a non-coding RNA of Triticum aestivum (bread wheat), 135 nucleotides long. NCBI's taxonomy places the organism in Eukaryota, Viridiplantae, Streptophyta, Magnoliopsida, Poales, Poaceae. The record is from Rfam.